RNAcentral lists this ribosomal RNA (475 nucleotides) under bacterium 1611-S6-05-2.1. RNAcentral describes it as "bacterial SSU rRNA". It matches the Rfam family "Bacterial small subunit ribosomal RNA", at positions 59 to 514 of the family's 1533-position model. RNAcentral also lists the same sequence under 1 other name. The record is from RNAcentral.
CAGUCGAGCGGAACGAGUUAUCUGAACCUUCGGGGAACGAUAACGGCGUCGAGCGGCGGACGGGUGAGUAAUGCCUAGGAAAUUGCCCUGAUGUGGGGGAUAACCAUUGGAAACGAUGGCUAAUACCGCAUAAUGCCUACGGGCCAAAGAGGGGGACCUUCGGGCCUCUCGCGUCAGGAUAUGCCUAGGUGGGAUUAGCUAGUUGGUGAGGUAAGGGCUCACCAAGGCGACGAUCCCUAGCUGGUCUGAGAGGAUGAUCAGCCACACUGGAACUGAGACACGGUCCAGACUCCUACGGGAGGCAGCAGUGGGGAAUAUUGCACAAUGGGCGCAAGCCUGAUGCAGCCAUGCCGCGUGUGUGAAGAAGGCCUUCGGGUUGUAAAGCACUUUCAGUCGUGAGGAAGGUAGUGUAGUUAAUAGCUGCAUUAUUUGACGUUAGCGACAGAAGAAGCACCGGCUAACUCCGUGCCAGCAG